This 1053-nucleotide ribosomal RNA is filed under the name Staphylococcus epidermidis. Its description in RNAcentral is "bacterial SSU rRNA". It matches the Rfam family "Bacterial small subunit ribosomal RNA", at positions 53 to 1087 of the family's 1533-position model. The record is from RNAcentral. Lineage: Bacteria; Bacillati; Bacillota; Bacilli; Caryophanales; Staphylococcaceae.
ACUGCAAGUCGAGCGAAAGACGAGGAGCUUGCUCCUCUGACGUUAGCGGCGGACGGGUGAGUAACACGUGGAUAACCUACCUAUAAGACUGGGAUAACUUCGGGAAACCGGAGCUAAUACCGGAUAAUAUAUUGAACCGCAUGGUUCAAUAGUGAAAGACGGUUUUGCUGUCACUUAUAGAUGGAUCCGCGCCGCAUUAGCUAGUUGGUAAGGUAACGGCUUACCAAGGCAACGAUGCGUAGCCGACCUGAGAGGGUGAUCGGCCACACUGGAACUGAGACACGGUCCAGACUCCUACGGGAGGCAGCAGUAGGGAAUCUUCCGCAAUGGGCGAAAGCCUGACGGAGCAACGCCGCGUGAGUGAUGAAGGUCUUCGGAUCGUAAAACUCUGUUAUUAGGGAAGAACAAAUGUGUAAGUAACUAUGCACGUCUUGACGGUACCUAAUCAGAAAGCCACGGCUAACUACGUGCCAGCAGCCGCGGUAAUACGUAGGUGGCAAGCGUUAUCCGGAAUUAUUGGGCGUAAAGCGCGCGUAGGCGGUUUUUUAAGUCUGAUGUGAAAGCCCACGGCUCAACCGUGGAGGGUCAUUGGAAACUGGAAAACUUGAGUGCAGAAGAGGAAAGUGGAAUUCCAUGUGUAGCGGUGAAAUGCGCAGAGAUAUGGAGGAACACCAGUGGCGAAGGCGACUUUCUGGUCUGUAACUGACGCUGAUGUGCGAAAGCGUGGGGAUCAAACAGGAUUAGAUACCCUGGUAGUCCACGCCGUAAACGAUGAGUGCUAAGUGUUAGGGGGUUUCCGCCCCUUAGUGCUGCAGCUAACGCAUUAAGCACUCCGCCUGGGGAGUACGACCGCAAGGUUGAAACUCAAAGGAAUUGACGGGGACCCGCACAAGCGGUGGAGCAUGUGGUUUAAUUCGAAGCAACGCGAAGAACCUUACCAAAUCUUGACAUCCUCUGACCCCUCUAGAGAUAGAGUUUUCCCCUUCGGGGGACAGAGUGACAGGUGGUGCAUGGUUGUCGUCAGCUCGUGUCGUGAGAUGUUGGGUUAAGUCC